This is a long non-coding RNA of Sycon ciliatum, 320 nucleotides long. RefSeq lists it as uncharacterized. The transcript is spliced from 4 exons. Lineage: Eukaryota; Metazoa; Porifera; Calcarea; Leucosolenida; Sycettidae. The record is from RefSeq and is a predicted model, not a curated record.
AUGUGUGUUUGUUGUUUGCAGUGAGCCGCAGUCAAUGUGCUAUGUUGAGACUGCUAAUCUGGAUGGUGAAACAAAUCUGAAGAUCAGACAGGGUUUACCGCAGUCUGAGCAUCUCACGGAUGCCAGAAGUGUAUUGAACACUGCUGGUAAUGUUGACUGUGAAGCGCCAAACAACCGUCUUUAUCAGUUUGUUGGUAACUUGAUACUGAAAGGACGUGGUGAGCGCCCCAAUGCUGUGCUGGCCUUGUCACCGGAUCAAAUAUUACUACGUGGUGCACAGCUACGUAAUACCGAGUGGGUGUUAGGUAAGUGGGCGUGGG